RNAcentral lists this ribosomal RNA (253 nucleotides) under uncultured bacterium. RNAcentral describes it as "partial 16S ribosomal RNA". It matches the Rfam family "Bacterial small subunit ribosomal RNA", at positions 524 to 776 of the family's 1533-position model. The record is from RNAcentral.
UACGAAGGAUGCAAGCGUUAUCCGGAUUUAUUGGGUUUAAAGGGAGCGUAGGCGGUCUUAUAAGUCAGUGGUGAAAUCUCGUUGCUUAACAACGACCGUGCCAUUGAUACUGUAGGACUUGAGUACAGUUGCCGUUGGCGGAAUGUGUCAUGUAGCGGUGAAAUGCUUAGAUAUGACAUAGAACACCAAUUGCGAAGGCAGCUCACUACACAAUGAUUGACGCUGAGGCACGAAAGCGUGGGGAUCAAACAGG